RNAcentral lists this ribosomal RNA (777 nucleotides) under uncultured Neocallimastigales. RNAcentral describes it as "partial large subunit ribosomal RNA". It matches the Rfam family "Eukaryotic large subunit ribosomal RNA", at positions 26 to 644 of the family's 3401-position model. Lineage: Eukaryota; Fungi; Neocallimastigomycota; Neocallimastigomycetes; Neocallimastigales. The record is from RNAcentral.
CGUCUAUAUACGUAUAGCAUAUCAAUAAGCGGAGGAAAAGAAACUAACAAGGAUUCCCCUAGUAACGGCGAGUGGAGCGGGAAGAGCUCAAAUUUGAAAUCUUCAAGGGUUUCCCUUGACGAAUUGUAGUUUAAAGAAGUGUUUUCUGUUAGAGAGGUGGUAAAAGUUCUUUGGAAUAGGACAUCAUAGAAGGUGAGAAUCCCGUAUUUGAUCACUUUCUACUAACGUUGUGAUACACUUUCAAAGAGUCGGAUUGUUUGGGAAUGCAGUCCAAAAUGGGUGGUAAAUUUCAUCUAAAGCUAAAUAUUGGCGAGAGGCCGAUAGCGAACAAGUACCGUGAGGGAAAGAUGAAAAGAACUUUGAAAAGAGAGUUAAACAGUACGUGAAAUUGUCAAAAGGGAAGCGUUUGACACCAGUGUUGUUUUUCCGAAAAUCAAUUAAGAAUGGCCGGAUUUUAAGUUUCAUGACCUUAAAAGCUUGUUUCUUAUUUUUCUUGUCUUUCUUAAUGCACUUUUCGGUUAACAAGUCAACAUCAAUUUCUUUUGUUGUAAAAGGUUAAGAGGAAGGUGGCUUUCCUUUCGGGCUCAAGUGUUUAUAGCCUUUUAAUCUCUGCAAUCGGAGAGAUUGAGGUCUGCAGCGUAGAUCCUUCGGGGUUAGAUACAGUUGUGCUAAGCUAUAGCCUUUUAUAGACAACUUGUUGACUAUGCUCUAGUCAUGUAGCUUACUCGCUGAUGCUAUUUUACCUACGCUUAGGAUGUUGAUAGUCACAGCGUGUAC